RNAcentral lists this ribosomal RNA (421 nucleotides) under uncultured archaeon. RNAcentral's name for it is "partial 16S ribosomal RNA". It matches the Rfam family "Archaeal small subunit ribosomal RNA", at positions 323 to 746 of the family's 1478-position model. The record is from RNAcentral.
CUACGGGCCGCAGCAGGUAAGAAACCUUCACAAUGCUUGAAAGAGUGAUGGGGGAAUCCUGAGUGAACACACAUUGUGUGUUCUUUUGUUAAGUCUAGACAGCUUAACGAAUAAGUGGUGGGUAAGACGGUUGCCAGCCGCCGCGGUAAUAACCGCGCCACAAGUGGUAGUCACGUUUAUUGGGCCUAAAGCGUCCGUAGCUGGUUUGAUGUGUCUUCGGUGAAAUCCUAUAGCAAACUAUAGGAAUUGCUGGAGAUACUGUCAGACUUGGAGCCGGGAGAGGUCAGGGGUACUUAUGGGGUAGGGGUAAAAUCCUUUAAUCCUAUAGGGACCACCAGUGGCGAAGGCGCCUGACUGGAACGGACUCGACAGUGAGGGACGAAAGUGUAGGGAGCGAACGGGAUUAGAUACCCGCGUAGUC